GACGUAGGGCGCGAGCGUUGUCCGGAUUUAUUGGGCGUAAAGAGCUCGUAGGCGGUUUGUCGCGUCGUCCGUGAAAACUCACAGCUUAACUGUGAGCUUGCGGUCGAUACGGGCAGGCUAGAGUUCGGUAGGGGAGACUGGAAUUCCUGGUGUAGCGGUGAAAUGCGCAGAUAUCGGGAGGAACACCGGUGGCGAAGGCGGUUCUCUGGGCCUUACCUGACGCUGAGGAGCGAAAGCGUGGGGAGCAAACAGG
This 253-nucleotide ribosomal RNA is filed under the name uncultured bacterium. Its description in RNAcentral is "partial 16S ribosomal RNA". It matches the Rfam family "Bacterial small subunit ribosomal RNA", at positions 524 to 776 of the family's 1533-position model. The record is from RNAcentral.